RNAcentral lists this ribosomal RNA (305 nucleotides) under uncultured bacterium. RNAcentral's name for it is "partial 16S ribosomal RNA". It matches the Rfam family "Bacterial small subunit ribosomal RNA", at positions 508 to 807 of the family's 1533-position model. The record is from RNAcentral.
ACAGCAGUCGCCGCGGUAAAACGUAGAGCGCAAGCGUUAUCCGGAAUUAUUGGGCGUAAAGAGCUCGUAGGCGGUUUGUCGCGUCUGCCGCGAAAGUCCGGGGCUCAACCCCGGAUCUGCGGUGGGUACGGGCAGACUAGAGUGAUGUAGGGGAGACUGGAAUUCCUGGUGUAGCGGUGAAAUGCGCAGAUAUCAGGAGGAACACCGAUGGCGAAGGCAGGUCUCUGGGCAUUAACUGACGCUGAGGAGCGAAAGCAUGGGGAGCGAACAGGAUUAGAUACCCGCGUAGUCCCUGUCUCUUAUAC